RNAcentral lists this ribosomal RNA (834 nucleotides) under uncultured Actinomycetes bacterium. RNAcentral describes it as "bacterial SSU rRNA". It matches the Rfam family "Bacterial small subunit ribosomal RNA", at positions 34 to 883 of the family's 1533-position model. Lineage: Bacteria; Bacillati; Actinomycetota; Actinomycetes. The record is from RNAcentral.
CGCUGGCGGCGUGCUUUAUACAUGCAAGUCGAACGAUGAAGUUCCUUCGGGAAUGGAUUAGUGGCGAACGGGUGAGGAACACGUGAGAAACCUGCCUUUCAUUCUGGGAUAACACCGGGAAACCGGUGCUAAUACCGGAUACUCCAUCUUGGCGGCAUCGCCGAGCUGGGAAAAAAUUUUGAUGAAAGAUGGUCUCGCGGCCUAUCAGCUAGUUGGUGAGGUAAAGGCUCACCAAGGCGACGACGGGUAGCCGGCCUGAGAGGGCGACCGGCCACACUGGGACUGAGACACGGCCCAGACUCCUACGGGAGGCAGCAGUAGGGAAUAUUGGGCAAUGGGCGAAAGCCUGACCCAGCGACGCCGCGUGAGGGAUGAAGGUCUUCGGAUUGUAAACCUCUUUCAGUAGGGAAGAAGCGAAAGUGACGGUACCUAAAGAAGAAGCACCGGCUAACUAUGUGCCAGCAGCCGCGGUAAUACAUAGGGUGCAAGCGUUGUCCGGAAUUAUUGGGCGUAAAGAGCUCGUAGGUCGUUUGUCGCGUCGAUUGUGAAAAUCUGAGGCUCAACCUCAGACCUGCAGUCGAUACGGGCAAACUAGAGUGUGGUAGGGGAGACUGGAAUUCCUGGUGUAGCGGUGGAAUGCGCAGAUAUCAGGAGGAACACCAAUGGCGAAGGCAGGUCUCUGGGCCAUAACUGACACUGAGGAGCGAAAGUGCGGGGAGCGAACAGGAUUAGAUACCCUGGUAGUCCGCACCGUAAACGGUGGGCACUAGUUGUGGGAACCUUCCACGGUUUCCGCGACGCAGCAAACGCAUUAAGUGCCCGCCUGGGGAGUAC